UACGGAGGGAGCUAGCGUUGUUCGGAAUUACUGGGCGUAAAGCGCACGUAGGCGGCUUUUUAAGUCAGGGGUGAAAUCCCGGGGCCUCAACCCCGGAACUGCCCUUGAAACUGGAGAGCUAGAAUCUUGGAGAGGCGAGUGGAAUUCCGAGUGUAGAGGUGAAAUUCGUAGAUAUUCGGAAGAACACCAGUGGCGAAGGCGACUCGCUGGACAAGUAUUGACGCUGAGGUGCGAAAGCGUGGGGAGCAAACAGGG
Molecule: ribosomal RNA, 255 nt
Filed under: uncultured bacterium
Lineage: Bacteria
Description: partial 16S ribosomal RNA
Rfam family: Bacterial small subunit ribosomal RNA
Source: RNAcentral